GGCCGAGUCGCCAGAGUCCCACUGAGGCCGUUGCAACCUUCAGUCCGCCGGUGGUGCUCACUCGCUGGCACGCAGCACCAUGCUAUCUCCUUGGCAGGGCUUCGGCUGGACGGCUCAGCUCUUCAGCUCCAGCAGCGCCCUGGACGUCCUGGUGAUAGUUUUGUACUUCCUGUUGGUUCUGGGCAUCGCGCUGUGGGUUAUCAUGUCAUGCAGCCGUGGGACAGAGGAAGACUUCUUCCUGGCGGGACGAAGCCUCGUGUGGUGGCAGAUAGGUGCUUUUCUUUUUGCCUCAAAUAUUGGCACUGGCCACUUCAUGGGUCUGGCUGGAAAAGGGGCGUCUUCGGGGAUUGCUGUCGGGGCCUUCGAGUGGAACGCCGCAUUCAUCCUCUGUGCUCUUGGUUGGGUGUUUUCUCCUGUUUAUAUGAAGUCUGGGGUAGUGACGCUGCCCAGAUACUUGAGGAAGAGGUUUGGUGGCUACCGGAUCCAGUUCCUCCUCGCUGUUCUGUACUUAGUCAUCUAUAUCUUCAGUAAGAUCUCGGUGGAGAUCUGCGCGGGCGCCGUGUUCAUGAGGCUGGUUCUGGGGCUGGAUGUUUACCUGGCCACUGUGGUCCUGCUGUCAGUCACCGGCAUAUGCUCCGUCACAGGUGGUUUUGCAGCCGUGGUUUACACUGAUCUCUUACACGCUGGCUUCGUGGUUCUGGGCUCUGUCUUGUUAAUGGGCUAUGCCUUUAACGAGAUAGGCGGAUACCAGGAGCUAGAGAGCAGGUACCCGGAGGCCAAGCCGACCGUCACCCAGGAAGGGAACUGGACCGCCCCGAUGGAGUGCUUCGUACCACGUGCGGACGCCUUCCACGUUUUCCGAGACCCCGUCACCGGAGACGUCCCCUGGCCUGGGGUCGUCUUUGGCCUCUCCACCAUUUCCUUGUACUACUGGUGCACUGACCAGAUCUUCGUCCAGGGCUGCCUGGCUGGGAAGAACUUGUCCCACGUGAAGGGCGGCUGCGUCCUGUGCGGGUUCCUGAAGCUGUUGCCCAUGUUCAGCAUCGUCAUGCCAGGGAUGAUCAGCCGUGUCCUGUACACAGAUGAGGUGGCGUGUGUUGUGCCUUCAGAGUGUAAGAAGUACUGUGGCAUGCAGGCCAGCUGCAGCCCCAUCGCCUACCCCCUGCUGGUGGUGGAGCUUCUGCCUAGCGGCGUCCGCGGCUUGGUGGUGUCCGCCCUCUGGGCCUCCCUCAUGUCCUCCCUGACUGCCGUAUACAGUAGUGCCAGCGCCGUGUUCACCAUGGACAUCUACCCCCAGAUGCGGCCGACGGCCACUAAAAAGGAGCUCAUGAUAACAGGAAGGCUCUUUGUUAUAGUCCUGCUCGCCGUCUCGGUCGCCUGGGUGCCCGCCCUGCAGGUGGCUCACAGGGAGCAGCUGUUUGAGUACAUGCACACGCUGCUCAGCUACCUGACGCCGCCCGUGGCCGCCACGUUCCUGCUGGCCGUCUUCUGCAAGAGGGUCACUGAGCAGGGCGCCUUCUGGGGGCUGGCCAGCGGCCUUGUGAUCGGCUCCUGUCGCAUGCUGUCCGAGUUUGCCUACGGGCCCUGGAGCUGCUCCAUGAACAGGAAGUGCCCCCGGAUCAUCUGCGGCGUGCACUACCUCUACUUCGCCAUGAUCCUCUUCACCAUCAGCCUCAUCACCGUCCUGGGCAUCUCCAUGUUCACCGUGCCGAUUCCAGACAAACACCUCCACCGCCUCUGUUGGAGUUUGCGGAACAGCCAGGAGGAGAGGGUGGACCUGGACGAGGACACAGAGGUGAAGAGCCCCGAGCCCCAGGCACAGCCAGCGGUUCAAGCCAGAGGCUCCUGGGCGCAGGCGGGCGUUAUCCGCAAGGAGUGGUGGGCAGCUGCCCCCGCGAGGGCGCCAGGGACACCGCUGCGGACACCUGAGUUUCAGUCCCAGCAGGGAGAAUGGGGAGACUGCGGCCCCACCCAGAAGUGUCUGCCCUGGCUCCGCACACCACCCAGCAGUGGCGGGGCUGGGAGGUCGGGCACGGGCAGGCUGACUGCAGAGCACAUGCUCGCGGCCACUGGCCUGUCCCGCCUCCCUUCAGGCAGCCCUUGGGUUGUGGCCGCAUGGGGGGCCCUCGUCUCUGGGGUCCCCGGCGGCGGCCCCUCCCCCGUGACACAGGCCCCUGGAACACCGGCCGGCGAGCUCCACGAUCCCGACACGUUCGUAGAGGACAGGGGCUGCCUCUGGAAGGCCUGGGACGUGUUCUGUGGCCUGGAGUUGCUGCCCAGCCCCAAGCUGGCCCCGGAAGAGGUGGGCGUGCCUGAGACGGAGCAGAAUGACAUGGCUGAAGGGAUGGCGCACGGUGCCACGUCGGGAGGGACAGAGGAGAGGGAGGCGCCGGAGGAGCGGCUCCUCUGGAGCAAGGCGCUCGGGCUCUGCGGGCUGCUCCUGGUGCUGCUCACGGUGCUCUGCCACAUCUACUUCCACUAG
RNAcentral lists this unclassified non-coding RNA (2482 nucleotides) under Bos taurus (domestic cattle). RNAcentral's name for it is "similar to solute carrier family 5 (sodium/glucose cotransporter), member 1". Lineage: Eukaryota; Metazoa; Chordata; Mammalia; Artiodactyla; Bovidae. The record is from RNAcentral.